UACGAAGGGUGCAAGCGUUAAUCGGAAUUACUGGGCGUAAAGCGUGCGUAGGCGGUUGCUUAAGUCAGAUGUGAAAGCCCUGGGCUCAACCUGGGAAUGGCAUUUGAAACUGGGCAGCUAGAGUGUGAUAGAGGAUGGCGGAAUUCCCGGUGUAGCGGUGAAAUGCGUAGAGAUCGGGAGGAACAUCCGUGGCGAAGGCGGCCAUCUGGAUCAACACUGACGCUGAGGCACGGAAAGCGUGGGGAGCAAACAGG
Molecule: ribosomal RNA, 254 nt
Filed under: uncultured bacterium
Lineage: Bacteria
Description: partial 16S ribosomal RNA
Rfam family: Bacterial small subunit ribosomal RNA
Source: RNAcentral